RNAcentral lists this ribosomal RNA (253 nucleotides) under uncultured bacterium. Its description in RNAcentral is "partial 16S ribosomal RNA". It matches the Rfam family "Bacterial small subunit ribosomal RNA", at positions 524 to 776 of the family's 1533-position model. The record is from RNAcentral.
UACGGAGGAUUCAAGCGUUAUCCGGAUUUAUUGGGUUUAAAGGGUGCGUAGGCGGUUUGAUAAGUUGGAGGUGAAAUGUUAGGGCUUAACCCUGAAACUGCCUCCAAUACUGUUGGACUAGAGAGUAGUUGCGGUAGGCGGAAUGUAUGGUGUAGCGGUGAAAUGCUUAGAGAUCAUACAGAACACCGAUUGCGAAGGCAGCUUACCAAACUAUAUCUGACGUUGAGGCACGAAAGCGUGGGGAGCAAACAGG